UACGGGGGGAGCAAGCGUUGUUCGGAUUUACUGGGCGUAAAGGGCGCGUAGGCGGCGUGACAAGUCACUUGUGAAAUCUCCGGGCUUAACUCGGAACGGUCAAGUGAUACUGUCGUGCUAGAGUACAGAAGGGGCAACUGGAAUUCUCGGUGUAGCGGUGAAAUGCGUAGAUAUUGGGAAGAACACCGGUGGCGAAGGCGGCUCUCUGGACCGAUACUGACGCUGAGGCGCGAAAGCGUGGGGAGCAAACAGG
RNAcentral lists this ribosomal RNA (253 nucleotides) under uncultured bacterium. RNAcentral describes it as "partial 16S ribosomal RNA". It matches the Rfam family "Bacterial small subunit ribosomal RNA", at positions 524 to 776 of the family's 1533-position model. The record is from RNAcentral.